This 291-nucleotide ribosomal RNA is filed under the name uncultured bacterium. Its description in RNAcentral is "partial 16S ribosomal RNA". It matches the Rfam family "Bacterial small subunit ribosomal RNA", at positions 506 to 796 of the family's 1533-position model. The record is from RNAcentral.
UGCCAGCAGCCGCGGUAAUACGGAGGGUCCAAGCGUUAUCCGGAAUCAUUGGGUUUAAAGGGUUCGCAGGCGGUUUAUUAAGUCAGUGGUGAAAUCUCGGGGCUCAACUCCGAAACUGCCAUUGAUACUGAUAGACUUGAAUAUAGUUGGAGUAGGCGGAAUGUGUAGUGUAGCGGUGAAAUGCUUAGAUAUUACACAGAACACCGAUAGCGAAGGCAGCUUACUAAACUAUUAUUGACGCUCAUGAACGAAAGCGUGGGGAGCGAACAGGAUUAGAAACCCCCGUAGUCC